GACGAACGCUGGCGGCGUGCUUAACACAUGCAAGUCGAACGGAAAGGCCCCUUUUGUGGUACUCGAGUGGCGAACGGGAGCGUAACACUUGAGUAACCUGCCCUUGACUUCGGGAUAACUUCAGGAAACUGGGGCUAAUACCGGAUAGGGAUCCUUGCUGCAUGGGGGGGGUUGCAAAGCUUCGGCGGUUUUGGAUGGACUCUCGGCUUAUCGGCUUGUUGUUGGGGUAGUGGCUUACCAGGGCUUCUACGGGUCGCCGCCCUGAGAGGGCGACCGGCCACCUUGGGCCUGAGAACCGGCCCAGACCUGUACGGGAGGCAGCAGGGGGGAAUCUUGCCCAAUGGGCGGACGCCGCAUGCAGCAACGCCGCGUGCGGGAUGACUGCCUUCGGGUUGUAGACCGCAUUCAACAGGGGCGAAGCUUGUGGUGACGGUACCUGCAGAAGAAGCACCGGCUAACUACGUG
RNAcentral lists this ribosomal RNA (465 nucleotides) under uncultured bacterium. RNAcentral's name for it is "partial 16S ribosomal RNA". It matches the Rfam family "Bacterial small subunit ribosomal RNA", at positions 28 to 507 of the family's 1533-position model. The record is from RNAcentral.